RNAcentral lists this ribosomal RNA (530 nucleotides) under Pseudomonas sp. Ociseq_AA12_37F_A4. RNAcentral describes it as "bacterial SSU rRNA". It matches the Rfam family "Bacterial small subunit ribosomal RNA", at positions 49 to 574 of the family's 1533-position model. The record is from RNAcentral. Lineage: Bacteria; Pseudomonadati; Pseudomonadota; Gammaproteobacteria; Pseudomonadales; Pseudomonadaceae.
CUAAACAUGAAAGUACGAGCGAAUGAGAGGAGCUUGCUCCUUGAUUUAGCGGCGGACGGGUGAGUAAUGCCUAGGAAUCUGCCUGGUAGUGGGGGAUAACGUUCCGAAAGGAACGCUAAUACCGCAUACGUCCUACGGGAGAAAGCAGGGGACCUUCGGGCCUUGCGCUAUCAGAUGAGCCUAGGUCGGAUUAGCUAGUUGGUGAGGUAAUGGCUCACCAAGGCGACGAUCCGUAACUGGUCUGAGAGGAUGAUCAGUCACACUGGAACUGAGACACGGUCCAGACUCCUACGGGAGGCAGCAGUGGGGAAUAUUGGACAAUGGGCGAAAGCCUGAUCCAGCCAUGCCGCGUGUGUGAAGAAGGCCUUCGGAUUGUAAAGCACUUUAAGUUGGGAGGAAGGGCAUUAACCUAAUACGUUAGUGUUUUGACGUUACCGAACAGAAUAAGCACCGGCUAACUUCGUGCCAGCAGCGCGGUAAUACGAAGGGUGAAGCGUUAAUCGGAAUUACUGGGCGUAAAGCGCGCGUAG